CCGCAUGGCUGGAUUGGGAAACACGGUGUAAGCUGUGGCUUGUGGAUGGGCCUGCGGCGCAUUAGCUAGUUGGUGGGGUAAAGGCUCACCAAGGCGACGAUGCGUAGCCGACCUGAGAGGGUGAACGGCCACACUGGGACUGAGACACGGCCCAGACUCCUACGGGAGGCAGCAGUAGGGAAUCUUCCACAAUGGGCGAAAGCCUGAUGGAGCAACGCCGCGUGAGUGAGGAAGGCUUUCGGGUCGUAAAGCUCUGUUGCCAGGGAAGAAUAAGGAUCAGUUAACUGCUGGUCUGAUGACGGUACCUGAGAAGAAAGCCCCGGCUAACUACGUGCCAGCAGCCGCGGUAAUACGUAGGGGGCAAGCGUUGUCCGGAAUUAUUGGGCGUAAAGCGCGCGCAGGCGGUUCUUUAAGUCUGGUGUCUAAGUGCGGGGCUCAACCCCGUGAUGCACUGGAAACUGGGGAACUUGAGUGCAGAAGAGGAGAGCGGAAUUCCACGUGUAGCGGUGAAAUGCGUAGAGAUGUGGAGGAACACCAGUGGCGAAGGCGGCUCUCUGGACUGUAACUGACGCUGAGGCGCGAAAGCGUGGGGAGCAAACAGGAUUAGAUACCCUGGUAGUCCACGCUGUAAACGAUGAGUGCUAGGUGUUGGGGGUAUCAUGCCCUCGGUGCCGAAGUUAACACAUUAAGCACUCCGCCUGGGGAGUACGGUCGCAAGACUGAAACUCAAAGG
This 733-nucleotide ribosomal RNA is filed under the name uncultured bacterium. Its description in RNAcentral is "bacterial SSU rRNA". It matches the Rfam family "Bacterial small subunit ribosomal RNA", at positions 186 to 907 of the family's 1533-position model. The record is from RNAcentral.